GAUGAACGCUGGCGGCGUGCCUAAUACAUGCAAGUCGAGCGAACAGACGAGGAACUUGCUCCUCUGACGUUAGCGGCGGACGGGGGAGUAACACGUGGAUAACCUACCUAUAAGACUGGAAUAACUUCGGGAAACCGGAGCUAAUACCGGAUAAUAUAUGCAACCGCAUGGUUCAAUAGUGAAAGACGGUUUUGCUGUCACUGAUAGAUGGAUCCGCGCCGCAUUAGCUAGUUGGUAAGGUAACGGCUUACCAAGGCAACGAUGCGUAGCCGACCAGAGAGGGUGCUUGCUCACACUGACAAUGCGACCCGGUACAGCGUACUACGUGAGGCAGACGUCGGCACUCGUACGCCAUCGGCGCACUCUUGGCGGAGCCACGGCGCGUAAGUCAUAAAGGUAUUAGGAUACUACAACUCUGUUAUCAGAGAAAAACAACUGUGUCAGUAACUAUGCAAGUCUUCAGGGUACCUACUCAGAAGGCCACGGCUAACUACGUG
Molecule: ribosomal RNA, 497 nt
Filed under: uncultured bacterium
Lineage: Bacteria
Description: partial 16S ribosomal RNA
Rfam family: Bacterial small subunit ribosomal RNA
Source: RNAcentral